UUAUGUUUCUUUUAUACUAAAUUAAAUUAAAACAAAAGUCAAAAUCCUUUUAAAUAUAUAGCGGGACGACAAGACCCUAACAAACUUAUUAUUUAGUUGGGGAAACAAAUUAAAAAAACUUUAACUCAAUAAAUUACACAACUUUAAGAUUAAAUAAAGUCUAGUUACUGUAGGGAUAACAGCGUUAUUUCUUUUAAGAGACCCUAUCUAAAAAGAAGAUUACGACCUCGAUGUUGAAUUAAUCAACCUAUAAUACGCAACAGUUUAUAAUAAGGUAGUCUGUUCGACUAUUAAAUGAUUACAUGAUUUGAGUUCAGAUCGGUGUGAGCCAGAUCGGUUUCUAUCUGCUAUACUCUUAAGUAAAUAGUACGAAAGGACCUUGACUUAUGAUAAAAU
RNAcentral lists this ribosomal RNA (396 nucleotides) under Pholcus ornatus. RNAcentral's name for it is "partial 16S ribosomal RNA". The stretch from base 57 to 352 matches the Rfam family "Bacterial large subunit ribosomal RNA", at positions 2071 to 2649 of the family's 2925-position model. The record is from RNAcentral. Lineage: Eukaryota; Metazoa; Arthropoda; Arachnida; Araneae; Pholcidae.